UAGGUAACCUGCCUUGUAGCGGGGGAGUAACUAUUGGAAACGAUAGCUAAUACCGCAUAACAAUGGAUGACACAUGUCAUUUAUUUUGAAAGGGGCAAUUGCUCCACUACAAGAUGGACCUGCGUUGUAUUAGCUAGUAGGUGAGGUAAUGGCUCACCUAGGCGACGAUACAUAGCCGACCUGAGAGGGUGAUCGGCCACACUGGGACUGAGACACGGCCCAGACUCCUACGGGAGGCAGCAUG
This 244-nucleotide ribosomal RNA is filed under the name uncultured bacterium. RNAcentral describes it as "partial 16S ribosomal RNA". It matches the Rfam family "Bacterial small subunit ribosomal RNA", at positions 118 to 353 of the family's 1533-position model. The record is from RNAcentral.